RNAcentral lists this ribosomal RNA (187 nucleotides) under uncultured bacterium. RNAcentral describes it as "partial 16S ribosomal RNA". It matches the Rfam family "Bacterial small subunit ribosomal RNA", at positions 1315 to 1500 of the family's 1533-position model. The record is from RNAcentral.
ACUACAUGAAGCUGGAAUCGCUAGUAAUCGCGGAUCAGAAUGCCGCGGUGAAUACGUUCCCGGGUCUUGUACACACCGCCCGUCACACCAUGGGAGUCGGAAAUGCCCGAAGCCGGUGACCUAACCUUUCAGGAAGGAGCCGUCGAAGGCAGGUCUGAUAACUGGGGUGAAGUCGUAACAAGGUAGC